GGACUCCUACGGGGCGCAGCAGUGAGGAAUAUUGGUCAAUGGGAGAGAUCCUGAACCAGCCAAGCCGCGUGAGGGAAGACGGCCCUAUGGGUUGUAAACUUCUUUUGUCAAGGGACAAAAUCAGGCUCGAGAGCCUGACCGAGGGUACUUGAAGAAAAAGCAUCGGCUAACUCCGUGCCAGCAGCCGCGGUAAUACGGAGGAUGCGAGCGUUAUCCGGAUUUAUUGGGUUUAAAGGGUGCGUAGGCGGGCUGUUAAGUCAGCGGUAAAAGCCCGGGGCUCAACCCCGGCGAGCCGUUGAAACUGG
This 305-nucleotide ribosomal RNA is filed under the name uncultured bacterium. RNAcentral describes it as "bacterial SSU rRNA". It matches the Rfam family "Bacterial small subunit ribosomal RNA", at positions 333 to 636 of the family's 1533-position model. The record is from RNAcentral.